AAGUCGUAACAAGGUUUCCGUAGGUGAACCUGCGGAAGGAUCAUUAAUGAUUGGUGGCUGUUGCUGACUAGUGUUUCUAGUAUGUGCACGCCACACCUUCAAUCCCACUUACACCUGUGCACCUUCUGUAAUAGAUCUAUGUGGAUACGGAGAUAUGAAAGUUUGCGCUCUCGUACUCUGUUGAAGCAGUCUACUACGUUUUUUUACACACACACACAAUAGUCAUUGAAUGUAUUUUUUUUUAUUCUUAUGAUAAAAACAACUUUCAACAACGGAUCUCUUGGCUCUC
RNAcentral lists this unclassified non-coding RNA (289 nucleotides) under Waitea circinata. RNAcentral describes it as "partial internal transcribed spacer region". The stretch from base 1 to 46 matches the Rfam family "Eukaryotic small subunit ribosomal RNA", at positions 1786 to 1831 of the family's 1831-position model. The record is from RNAcentral. Lineage: Eukaryota; Fungi; Basidiomycota; Agaricomycetes; Corticiales; Corticiaceae.